Long non-coding RNA from Macaca fascicularis (crab-eating macaque), 2140 nucleotides. NCBI's taxonomy places the organism in Eukaryota, Metazoa, Chordata, Mammalia, Primates, Cercopithecidae. The record is from Ensembl.
UUUUUUUUUUUUUUUUUUUUUUUGGAGAUAGCGUUGACAAAUAUAUGGGAUCCCGGCUUUUGAUCCCUGGCUGCGGCCUCUGUUCUCCUGUCGCUAAUAAAACUCGCAUUGAGCCCCUUAGUGCCUUGAUUAACAGGCAGAUUAACUCUUACUGGGGUUGGGAACAGCUUGUCCUAAUCAAUGUCAUUUUAAAAGCCCGUCAGGAUGCGCUUAGCUCCGGUUCCCUGGCUGCUCCAGCGAGCCAGCCAUGACAUUUGCUCCCUCCUCCUCCCCAGCCUCAAAUCCCCCAGUAAAGCUCCCAGUUCCCGCCUGCCUGUUCCCAGGUCCACAACGGGACAAAUCGCAGGACCGGGUCGUUGGCCUUUAGAACGGGUAGCGGUUUAGAGAGGGGAUAUCCAAGGAGAAGGGACUGAGGUGGCCUUGGCUUGCUUGCUUUUCCUUUGAAGCUGAACUCUUGCUUCUUGGGGGCAGAGGUCACAGGGAAAAGAGAGAUGAGGGGGAUCGUCUCAGGGUGAUGAAAUGGAAAGCAAACUUUCCUAGGAACCCUAUUUGCAAAAAUCGGAGAGUGCCGCUGAUUCCAAUUGUUCUACAGGUCAGGAGUUUUAAACCUAGCUCCUAUCUGGACAACAGCAUGGAGGGACUGGGAGGCAAAGCCUUGGGAGUCUGGCCCGCUGGGCUGCUAGGAAUCCCUUUGGUGGGAGACUCCACUGGACAAUGUUAUUUUAAAGGUAUUUCGGGGGUGGGCAGGGAGAAGACAGAGAGAGAGAGAGAGAGAAAGAGAGAGAGACAGUGAGAGAGAGACAGUGAGAGAGAGAGAGAGAGAGAGAGAGAGAGAGAGAGAGAGAGAGAGAGAGACUGGCCUCCCAGAGUGAAUGGAAGAGGACUGAGGACGGAACCCAGGGAGCCCCUAGCACUGGCCAUUUGGCAGGAGGCAAGGAAGGGCGAGGGCACAGCGGCUUCCACCGUAGCUGAGCAGUGGCCACAGCCUGGAGGCGCCACGGGGCGUCUCUGGGAUCUUCUUGGAUUUUCUAGGCUCUGGGAUCAGUGAAGCUGCCGGGUUAGCGGGAACCGGCAGGUUGCUGGAGAAAGGAGAGGGACAAAGGCCUGGAAGCGGGGGAGGCACCUGGGACUUGGCGGCCAGGGUGGGAGCCUUUGCUUUUAGUGCUCACUGGACCCGUUUGCCAGCUCCGCGGACCAGGGAUCCCACCUUCCCAGGGUCUGCAAAGAGAGAGACGUUUGGGGCACUACAAAGUGACGCAGGUGUCUGCCAAGACUUUCCUCCUCCAAAGAAAUGCCAGUCUUCACCCUUUCCAGCGCGCCGGCGCUGCGCCUCUGCUUGGCCGGGGAAAGAGAGAGUUCGGAGGUGUCAGAACUCCGGAUGGGAGACUCUUGGUUCUGAAGCUGGGAGCUGGAGGCACAUCCCCCCAGAAGUGGGCACUUCUUUGCCUCCCCAAAGGUCUGAUGGGGUGGGCACAGGGGAAUGCCAGAGACCAGUGCGGGUGAGAUGCUUGCCUGACCUUACGUUGACGCAUCAAUACUGGGUAGAAGCUCUGGGCAGGCUCUGGCGAGCCACAGUACCCCAGCGGGACUCCCUCCACGCAGACAGCCCCUCUACCGGGUGGGAAGACCCCGGCGGCCCCCGCAGGAACGCACCCUUCGGCCUGAGAGGUCCUCCCUCUGGCCACAGGGGGCGGAGGGUGGGGUGGGGGUUACAGGGGCAUGUGGAGAGGCGGGGAAAGGCGAGACAGUACCUAAAGCGCAAUCCCCUCCGCCCACCGCGCCUUGGAGGACAGCAAGUGGGCCUCCGGUGAGUUGGUAGCCGCAAUUAAAAUGGCGACCUGCGAGUUGUCUCGGUUUUGUACACACCUCUGGCGACCGCGUCCGCACCUCAAUCUCGACCCCCACACCCCCAGGCCGCGUCACCCCCGGAGCGGGUACUUGGCAGAAGGAGUGAGGCUACCCACGAAGCAGAACAGCACCCCCACCCUUCUUGAGACCAGUCCAGAGAGAACCAGGAAAUCUCGCUCUCAACCCUCUCUCCUUAAACUUUGAAAACUCGGCCUCUUUCUGGGGUUGAGCUCCCCUCCCCAAAUAUUGACACAUGGGAAGCGGCCAAGUCCUUUUUGUUUUUUGUUUGUGC